ACUUUGUGUAUUGGCCAUAAACAAUAGCCAAUUAAAGGGUUCCGCCUGUCAAUUAUCACACUAUAUUUCCGGUCAAAAUUACUAAAUGUUUAUAUAAUCAAAAUAAGUCGUGAAUAACAAUGUUUUUUAAUGCAAUUCAAGGU
Molecule: long non-coding RNA, 143 nt
Organism: Sphaeramia orbicularis (orbiculate cardinalfish)
Lineage: Eukaryota; Metazoa; Chordata; Actinopteri; Kurtiformes; Apogonidae
Exons: 3
Source: RefSeq, a predicted model, not a curated record